UUGAGAAUGUUGCCUGUCUGAGCCCUGAGAUGAGCUGAGGGUUCCUCCUCCCCAGCCAGCACCAGCCUCACACAGCCCUUGUAAAUCUGAAAGUGCUGUUGGUAGCAACCAGGGAUGGGCAGAGGCAGCCCUGUCCUGAGGGUGACAUGAAAGUGAGAGCAAGCUGAAGCUCCAGUUGGCUUAGUCUUCAAAAGUGUCACUUUCAGAUUAUAUCCCUCAGCUUUAAAAUAUCCUUCUUUGAAGUCCAUCCUGCUCUGCCCACUAUUUGUCCCCGGUGGUCACUUCCUCCUCUGUGCUCCCGUGGCCUGGGAUUCACACCAGGAAAGAACGCCACGAAGAAGGAAUGACAAGAAAAUGGAGGCAAAGAACAUUGGAGUCACUCCCUGGCUACACACACUGAGGUGAUAACCAAGGUGCUCAAAAAGGGCCGGUGUGCCGCAGUGAGUGCCAGUUUGAAUGAAGGAAGCAUGCGUGGCCUGAAGCCUCACCGUGUUCCAGGCGUCCAGUUAAGUGCUCUGCACAUAAUAUCACACAUUGCGCUCCACGAUAAGGGUCUGGAAAGCAAUCCUCCACAGAAAGAAAGCAGAAUCUUCUGGGCAUUUCUGAGCAAGUGGACUUCCUUCAGCUGAGCACAGUCCUCAGGAGAAGCGGACAGGUGCAAAGUGUUGGAAGCCAACACUCACAGCAGUUGGGGGUUGGAGUGCUCUGGCUUCCAACAGCAUUGAAACCAACAGCAUUGACUACAGCGAGUUUCUCAAUCUUCAGAACACAUCCCAGCCUCCCUGGGGGCUGCUAAUGCACAGAUUGCCGUUUCCCACUCCAAGAGUUUCUGAUUCCAGAGGUCUGGGGUAGGGCUCGAUAAUUUGUUCUUCUAACCACCUAAUGCUGUUGGUCCAGUGACCACACUUUGAGAAAUGCUGUACUAUGUUUUCUCAUAUAUUUAAAAAUUCUCACCUCAUUUAUGGUUUAAAACUUCUAGAACAAUUCUGAAUAGUUUUUGUAAUAGUGAGCCUCACUUUCCUGUCUCUGCCCUUAAUGGGAAUGUCUCUAAUGAUUCACCUUUCAUACGGGGACUUGUUGUGGUUUACUGGGCAAUUCCUUUUGGCAGGUUAAAAAAAUUCCCUCUGUUUCAAGCUAAAGCCAUUUACCAGGAAGAGACGCUAAGUUUUAUCAGAGGGUUUUUCCAGUAACUAUUGUGAUAAUCAUGGUUUUUUUUCCUAUUUAUUACGAUAUCAAACAUGAAACUUAUUUGAAGUCCUGGAUUAAACGGUGCUUGUUUUCUAUAAUGUUUUGUUCCUUAAAUGUACUGACAAAUUUAAUUUAUUAUUUUUUUAGGAUUUGAGGUACAAGUUCAUACGUGAUAAUGACUUACUGUUUUGUUUUCAUUAUUUCCUCCUUCCAUCCUUUCUUGAUAUCCUUUUUAUCUCUUGGUUUCAAAAUUACACUAGCGUCAUAGAAUGAGUUGGAAAUUAGCCCAUUAUUCUCCAUGCCAUGGAGUGUUUUGCAAAACAUAAGAAUGAUCAGUUCCUUACAUAUUUGGUAGAAUUUACCUUAUAAAACACAGUAGGUUUUGUGUCUCUUCUGGAGUCCAGAUACUGCUAUGGACUGAAUGUUUGUACCCUCUAAGAUUCAUUAGGUUGAAAUCCUAGCCUCAAAGUGGUGGUAUUAGGAGGUGGGACUUUUGGGAGGUGAUCAGGCCAAGAGGGUGGAGCCCUCAUGAAUGGGAUUAGUGCCCUUAUCAAAUAAGGCAAAAGGAGCUCUUUAACCUCUCCCACCAUGUGAGGACAAAGUGAAAAGACACCAUCUAUGAACCAGGAAGCAGGGCCUCACCGGAUGCCAAACCUGCCAGCACCUGGCCCUUGGACUUCCAGCCACCAGAACUGUGAAGAAGAAAUUUCUAUUGCUUAUAAAUACCCAGUUUACGGCAUUCUGUUAUAGAAGUGCCUAAUAGGCUAAGGCAAAUACUAUAUGGUAUUUAGGAUUGCUUCUGUAUAUUUUUAAGACUUUUUUAUUUUGGAAUAAUAAUAAUUCACAGAAAAUUUACAGAGAAAGUCUCCACAUGCCCCUCACCCCACUUCCCCUAAUGUUAACAUAACCGUGGUCCAUUUGUCAAAACUAAGAAAUGAGGAUUGGUACCAUACUAUUGACUGAAUUACAGACAUUACUUGGAUUUUGUCAAUUGUUUUACUAAUAUUCUAUUAUUUCUGUGUCAGAUUCCAAUCUGGAUAACAUGUUGCAUUUGUUCAUCACGUCUCCUUUGUUUUUCCUGGGCUGUGACAGUUUCUUAUUCUUUUCUUGUAUUGCCUGGCUUUGAAUUUUGAGGAAUUCUGGUUAAGUAUUUUGUAAACUGUCACUAAAUUUUGCUUGUCAGAUGUUUUCUCCUGGGUUAGACUGGGCUUACAGGUUUUGGGGAAGAACUCUACAAAAGGGAAAUGUCUUUCUCAUCUCAUCUAAUAAAUGGAUAUAGGAUAUCAA
RNAcentral lists this long non-coding RNA (2475 nucleotides) under Homo sapiens (human). RNAcentral's name for it is "PREDICTED lncRNA (TCONS_00156545)". The record is from RNAcentral. Lineage: Eukaryota; Metazoa; Chordata; Mammalia; Primates; Hominidae.